Non-coding RNA from Ictidomys tridecemlineatus (thirteen-lined ground squirrel), 2458 nucleotides. The record is from RefSeq and is a predicted model, not a curated record. Lineage: Eukaryota; Metazoa; Chordata; Mammalia; Rodentia; Sciuridae.
AGAAUUAUGUUGGCUUUGGGCUUAGCAUAGAUAGCUUUUGCAAUGUUGAGGUAUGUCGUUCAGUCACUUUUAUAUAAACAUUUACUUCUAGCUACUUUCUAGGCUGCACUUUUGAGGCCCAUGGCAAUGAAUAAGGAAACUUGAUAGACCAGAAAAGUGAGGACUGCAGGACAACAGAAUAGUCAUUUUGAGGAUGGGAGACUGGGACAAGUGAUGAGAUGGUAUUCAAUUCUCAAGAAAAGAGCAGAGAGGAAGAAUAGCAGGUUUGGGAACAAUGGGCAAUGUCAUUUUGGACAUGCUAUAUCUCAAGUGAUUAUACAGCAUCCAGAGGAAUUUGUCCAUAAUUUACUGGAUAUAAAAGCCUGCAGAUGGGAGAGAAGUAUGAGCUGAAUUUUUGGCCUUAUGGAAAUACAGAGGCAAAUUGAAUUUAAGAUCACCCAGAGACCAUGGGGAGAAAACAAGAGAUCUGGAGGCAUGUGGUGGACAACAUUGAGUAAUACCAUCAAGUAUCCCUCCAACAUGGAGCUUGGAAAGUAUAGGGAAGGAGAAGAUAUCGUGUCCUCUCUUCCCACAUCUUCCUGUAGUUUCAUCUUCCACGAAGACAGCAGCUAGAUGUUGCUCUUUGCUAUUGCUAGAAAAAGAGCAAGAAAGCCAAGUGUGGUGGCCUCAGACUCUAUACUUAAAACAAGUCUAUGUGAUCUAUAUCCAACAAGAAAAAACUCAAGACAAAAACAUGUAAUUGUAAUGAUAGUGCCCAGAAAUAUAAAAAGCUCAUUGAUGCUUCCAAAUUAUUCAUUGUUUUGAAUUAACUGAGUGAUGAUUAAGAUGUUGAUUAAUGAUGAACAUUGUUUUAAAGCUCCAAGACAUGGAAGAAGUAAGUAGUUUGCACUGUGUAUCUUUGUCAGCUCACCGAUUUCAAGGCUAAUCUACACUAUAUGGGUUUCCCUGGGAAACUAGAGCAAACAAUAUGGGCUGCCCUCGUAUCCACAAACAUUUACUGGAAAACCCUUGAGUCUCCAACAAUGUGUCAGGUGUUCUGAUAGAACCCUUGAGCCAUUUGAACUGUAGAAGGCUCCCAGAGAAGUACUUUUAAGUCACACAAAUGAGUAAUGGUAUCCAGGUAUGUAAAGACUUCAGGCAAAGGCCAACCUUGUCCUGUUAAUGGAGAAGCCCAGAGCCUUGGUAAGUCACGAGUAUCUAUAUGAUUAGAUGUCCUAGAAUGAUUUACCUAUAGAGAAAAGAGAGCAACAGAGCAGUCCCUGCUGACAAUUGGGCCCACUGGUGCUGCAGAUGGUGUGAAAAAGGUUGGAAAGUUGGAAGGAAGCUGGGAACUGUAGUGAGAGUAGCCUCUCUGGAGUACAAGAUUUUUUUCCACCAGGCUGGAUAGCUUUCACAUUACUGGCCCUAGAACAGUUUCUGUAAUCCUCUGCCUUAAGAAUAAGGAAAGAAGAUUAUCUCAUUUGAUCUUUUUUUCCCUUUUUUAUUGAUGAAUUAUAUUUAUAUAUAUUUACGGGGUGCAAAUUGAUGGAAUGAUUAUUUCAGACAAAUUCAUAUUUGCUUUAUAAAGAAUAGAUUUCAACAUUCCACCUUUCAAAAUGAAAAGUACAACUUCAUUUAUUUAUUUAACAAAUAUCUAUUAAGUACUAAGUUACCUAUAACAACUAAUAUAUGGUACACAGUCUUUGCUCAUAUACUCAUGUCCUAUAGGACACCCCCUGAUGCUCUUCCUGUGGGAACGAGUGUUUACCUCACUAAGACCAAACUUACAUCUAUGACUUUCUUUUACCAUAUCUAUGUCACAUCUAGGCAAAAGUUUGGAGAACUACUGUGUAGUUUUGUAAUUGCUUUUUUUCUCCCUGCCUCAAAUAUGGAGAAUCCCAGGUCAAUUCAAAUCUAACCUCCUAAUUACCACAGUGCCUUAAAGGAAAAUCCUAGAUUCACAUUGUAUGGAAGUCAAAAAGAAUUUCACAGGUUAAACAUCCAUUAUUACCCUGAUAAGAAGCACCAUAAAAGCUGAGUGGAUUCUGGCCUUUGAGUUUUGAGUAAGAGAAAGAGGAAACUGAUGAUUUAAAAAAAGGAAUGAGAAACUAAGAAAACUCAUGUGACUCCUCCUGAAACAAAGACUCAAUUAAGAAUUCUCUCCCUAACCUCUCCUUGCCUCGAAGCUUUGAAAGCCUCUUGCAGAAUUUUGUUUUGUUAAAACUACAGGUUGAAGCACAAACCCAAGGUGGACCCUCUGGAUGGGGAACAAUAAACUUUUGGGCAUUUCAGAGUCAGAAAAUUUUGACUCACCUGGAAACUGUGAGCACUGAGCAGGAUGAAGCCGUGAUUCUUAUCUCCUAAAGAGUUUCACAGUCAUCAAUGCCCAGAGUAAGCUGAUGAACUGGGAGUAGGUGACCUUAAUAGAUAUAACUGUGUAUGCGCUCAUUGUACCAUGAAAUUAAAUUUUAAAUCUGAA